GUUGCCACGGCGCGCCCCUCCCAACUCUCAUCGCCACACCGCCCCGCAAGAUGGGAUCCGCCAUGUCAAGAAGGUGCUCCCUCGAAUCCCAUCUCUUCUACAGUUUUUAAAUUAAAUCAAUCAACGCAGCUUCUUAGUUGACACAUCCCACGCCUCUAUCUCGAUUGGUUGGUUCUCAACUGAAUCUCAAAAUUUGGACCGACCACUAUCAAUCACACAACUGAUCCUGAUGCAUCAGAUCUCAUGAAGUAAAUCUCGAUGGUGGUGUGGCCUGCAGCUUAACACAUGUUUGUAUUUUGCAUCUCACUCUGCAACUUACUAAUUUCGUUUGUUUCUUUUUAGGGGGAGAAGGAGCGAAUACAUUAAUCAGGUGCAGGUUCGAAUGACUGGCCAUUAACUAGACUACAUUUACUCUCUGUGGGAGAGUUCCAGUUUAAUUUGCAAUUCCAACAUGAUCCGUACGUUCAUUGUUUCAUGAUGUAUAGUUUUAGCUUCCAGAAACUCGCAUCACUUUCGCCUAGUACUUACGAAGCAAAAUGACAUAUCUAUGUGGGUUUUUACUUUAUUGGUUCUGGCUUCACAUGACUUUGUGCAACUAACAAGGCAUAUUUUUUGGUCCACCACUAAUGGCUAUUGCUAUUAUUUUCAUGGAUGUUUGCUUACUUUAGCUUGGUAGAUGCUCAGUAUUUGUCUUACUUGUACCAUUUUGGGAAGUGCUUAUGCAUCUUAAUUAGGCAUGAGUAAGAUCAGAACAAGCCAAGUUAUGUACAUUUUGAAAAAAGAUCCAAACUAGAUAUAGUUUUCCGCUCAGUUUGAUCCAGUACACCUGGUCCGGCAAAUUGUGGUUCGCCAACCUAUCUGAUAUAGCCUUGAAACAUUCUGAUUUUACACAAGUCAGCUAGGGCAUAGGGAAAUGCAUGUUAGUAUUUGACAAUGGAGGAUGCAACUCACUGUUGAAUCAACAAAUUGACCAGAUCAACGCCCUGUUACACACAGCUGCCCUAUACGUAACCCCUCAAAGAAACAAAAAAAAGUUGUAUCUCUCUCCCCAGAUACGGCGCAUCCAUGGCUCCUGAUGGGGAUAACUUCUGACAUUGAUACUUACCGGACAUCUGGGUGAUGCCGCUCGCUACAAACCAAAGUCCCCCCUGCCCCCAUCGGAAGAUGCAUCCAAUACCACUACCAUGCAGCCAUAGAUUGAUUCCUUCCUGCGCUGGCAGGCUAGAUGUUCAAGGAGGUAGCAGAGGUGCAGCCGUGUGUGCAUCCUCUUCCAUGGACGACACCUGGUACAGUGGUACCCCAUGAUCCUCCUUCCAAUUGAUUUUUUUAUUGUCAAUUUGUGUUUGCCCCCAAACAUUUUUUUCCUUCUUCAAUAAGUACAACUCCUAUGAGCGAUUGAUCAGAGCUCUAAUUUCGGGUGUUGGUUGACUUCACCUUGUUAUGUAUAAGAAUGGAUGAUGGGAUUCAUGUUUUUGUACAUAUCACCAAGGAUCUAGUAUGAUAAUAUUAAUACUUCUACAUAGUAUUACCUCACCUUCCAUACCAUUGUCCACUUGUUUUGUGCUACUAUCCAAUUGGGGCACGUUUAUUUUGUUGCCAUGUCACGUAAGAGUAUAAUAUACUUCUGAUAUCUCCGAGAGUGUAUAUAAAGACAAUAAAUUUUGUAGUAUGUUAAGGUGAUCAAAGUUUCUCUGUGUUACCUUUAUACAUGACAACAGAUUAUAAUGCUGUCAAAUUUAUGUGGGCUAUAACCAAACAAAACAUUGUAAUUUCUUUCUGGCAGCAGUUUCGCUGGUCACUUUUAUACAGAUUGUAAUAAUAUCAAACUGAUGUGGGCUUUAACCAAACCACAGAUAGUAUUUUUUUUUGUUCGCACAUUAACUGGUCAUUUUCAUACAGAUUAUAAUAUUGUUAAAUCGACGUGGGCUAUAACCAAACACCAUUGUGAUUUUUUUUCUAUCAGCAAACAACUAGUAAGUUUUUCAUUGCAUUGACACUAUCAUAAGAGAGAAUGUUUUCUUACUGUUUGCAGAUAUUUGAGGAUUUAAAAUUAUGGAAAUGUUCAGCAGAUGCUCUUUUGCAAGUGAAAAGAAUACAUUUUUAUAAGGAGCAAUCAAUAUGGGGCCAAUACAAGGUGUGUGAUUUAUCCAUGUUCCAACCUUUUUUUGCGGACAAAGAUGGUUCAGAAUAAUGUAGUCAUCAUCUGUUUGACAGAUAAGCUGCAUUAUCUCUAUCAGCUGGCUCAAACUUCUUUGUUGUGUCAUCCCCACUAGAGUGUAGAGUUUCUAUUGGACGGAAGAUUACUAGUGUCGACAAGCAUAACCAGUCAAUCCUAAGAAGUCUUAGUUCUAUAGAGAAGAAACACACAAAUUAUAACUAUUCUUUGUGAAAUCAAUGUAUAUUUCUUAUUUAAAAUUAUCUAGCUCUGCUUCUCUAUAUUUCCCUUCACCUUUUCUGAUGCUAAUGUGCUCUUAUUGCAGGAUUUAGAGGACAAAACUAAUUAUAUGGACAGAUUAUAACAGGUUUUAUAUCGGAAAUAAUCUUGAAACAUGCAAGGGAAAUCUUCACAUUUUUCUAGAAGCCAUAUCCAUAAAAGCUGUGAAAGCCAUCAAGCUGAUGUACCAAACUAGCUAUAGAAUUUUUAGAUAGAUUUCCACUGAGAAUUUCCAUUUUUUUUCUCAAAUUGGUUUCAACUUUCAGAUAGUUAGAAUUAGAAUUAGAAGUUUAUUUUCUACUGACAUACACAUUAUUGUAUGAACCUAUAGUUCACUUGUAAAGUAUCAAUACCCUUUGUAAUAAAAAUAGUUGUAAUGGCUUGCACAUUGCUACUUGUUUUGCGGUUGUGAUUAUGAGAAACUUUUU
RNAcentral lists this long non-coding RNA (2862 nucleotides) under Triticum aestivum (bread wheat). RNAcentral describes it as "long non-coding RNA (TAES_LNC025861)". The record is from RNAcentral. Lineage: Eukaryota; Viridiplantae; Streptophyta; Magnoliopsida; Poales; Poaceae.